GAGCUUGCUCCCUGAUGUUAGCGGCGGACGGGUGAGUAACACGUGGGUAACCUGCCUGUAAGACUGGGAUAACUCCGGGAAACCGGGGCUAAUACCGGAUGGUUGUUUGAACCGCAUGGUUCAGACAUAAAAGGUGGCUUCGGCUACCACUUACAGAUGGACCCGCGGCGCAUUAGCUAGUUGGUGAGGUAACGGCUCACCAAGGCGACGAUGCGUAGCCGACCUGAGAGGGUGAUCGGCCACACUGGGACUGAGACACGGCCCAGACUCCUACGGGAGGCAGCAGUAGGGAAUCUUCCGCAAUGGACGAAAGUCUGACGGAGCAACGCCGCGUGAGUGAUGAAGGUUUUCGGAUCGUAAAGCUCUGUUGUUAGGGAAGAACAAGUGCCGUUCAAAUAGGGCGGCACCUUGACGGUACCUAACCAGAAAGCCACGGCUAACUACGUGCCAGCAGCCGCGGUAAUACGUAGGUGGCAAGCGUUGUCCGGAAUUAUUGGGCGUAAAGGGCUCGCAGGCGGUUUCUUAAGUCUGAUGUGAAAGCCCCCGGCUCAACCGGGGAGGGUCAUUGGAAACUGGGGAACUUGAGUGCAGAAGAGGAGAGUGGAAUUCCACGUGUAGCGGUGAAAUGCGUAGAGAUGUGGAGGAACACCAGUGGCGAAGGCGACUCUCUGGUCUGUAACUGACGCUGAGGAGCGAAAGCGUGGGGAGCGAACAGGAUUAGAUACCCUGGUAGUCCACGCCGUAAACGAUGAGUGCUAAGUGUUAGGGGGUUUCCGCCCCUUAGUGCUGCAGCUAACGCAUUAAGCACUCCGCCUGGGGAGUACGGUCGCAAGACUGAAACUCAAAGGAAUUGACGGGGGCCCGCACAAGCGGUGGAGCAUGUGGUUUAAUUCGAAGCAACGCGAAGAACCUUACCAGGUCUUGACAUCCUCUGACAAUCCUAGAGAUAGGACGUCCCCUUCGGGGGCAGAGUGACAGGUGGUGCAUGGUUGUCGUCAGCUCGUGUCGUGAGAUGUUGGGUUAAGUCCCGCAACGAGCGCAACCCUUGAUCUUAGUUGCCAGCAUUCAGUUGGGCACUCUAAGGUGACUGCCGGUGACAAACCGGAGGAAGGUGGGGAUGACGUCAAAUCAUCAUGCCCCUUAUGACCUGGGCUACACACGUGCUAC
RNAcentral lists this ribosomal RNA (1167 nucleotides) under Bacillus siamensis. RNAcentral describes it as "bacterial SSU rRNA". It matches the Rfam family "Bacterial small subunit ribosomal RNA", at positions 76 to 1228 of the family's 1533-position model. The record is from RNAcentral. Lineage: Bacteria; Bacillati; Bacillota; Bacilli; Caryophanales; Bacillaceae.